UACGGAGGGUGCAAGCGUUAUCCGGAAUCACUGGGUUUAAAGGGUGCGUAGGCGGUCUUGUAAGUCAGUCGUGAAAUCGCUGGGCUCAACCCAUGCAACUGCGAUUGAUACUGCUUGACUUGAAUAAGGUUGAGGUAGGCGGAAUGUGGCAUGUAGCGGUGAAAUGCUUAGAUAUGCCAUAGAACACCGAUUGCGAAGGCAGCUUGCUGGACCUUUAUUGACGCUGAGGCACGAAAGCGUGGGGAGCAAACAGG
Molecule: ribosomal RNA, 254 nt
Filed under: uncultured bacterium
Lineage: Bacteria
Description: partial 16S ribosomal RNA
Rfam family: Bacterial small subunit ribosomal RNA
Source: RNAcentral